GACGAACGCUGGCGGCGUGCUUAACACAUGCAAGUCGAACGGAAAGGCCCUGCUUUUGUGGGGUGCUCGAGUGGCGAACGGGUGAGUAACACGUGAGUAACCUGCCCUUGACUUUGGGAUAACUUCAGGAAACUGGGGCUAAUACCGGAUAGGAGCUCCUGCUGCAUGGUGGGGGUUGGAACGUUUCGGCGGAUGGGGAUGGACUCGCGGCUUAUCAGCUUGUUGGUGGGGUAGUGGCUUACCAAGGCUUUGACGGGUAGCCGGCCUGAGAGGGCGACCGGCCACAGUGGGACUGGGAUACGGCCCAGACUCCUACGGGAGGCAGCGGUGGGGAAUAUUGCACAAUGGGCGGAAGCCUGAUGCAGCAACGCCGCGUGCGGGAUGACGGCCUUCGGGUUGUAAACCGCUUUCGCCUGUGACGAAGCGUGAGGGACUGUAAUGGGGAAAGAAGCACCGGCUAACUACGU
Molecule: ribosomal RNA, 467 nt
Filed under: uncultured bacterium
Lineage: Bacteria
Description: partial 16S ribosomal RNA
Rfam family: Bacterial small subunit ribosomal RNA
Source: RNAcentral